This 254-nucleotide ribosomal RNA is filed under the name uncultured bacterium. Its description in RNAcentral is "partial 16S ribosomal RNA". It matches the Rfam family "Bacterial small subunit ribosomal RNA", at positions 524 to 776 of the family's 1533-position model. The record is from RNAcentral.
UACGUAGGGUGCAAGCGUUAAUCGGAAUUACUGGGCGUAAAGCGUGCGCAGGCGGUUUUGUAAGUCAGAUGUGAAAUCCCCGGGCUUAACCUGGGAACUGCGUUUGAAACUACAAGGCUAGAGUGUGGCAGAGGGGGGGUGGAAUUCCACGUGUAGCAGUGAAAUGCGUAGAGAUGUGGAGGAACACCGAUGGCGAAGGCAGCCCCCUGGGUUAACACUGACGCUCAUGCACGAAAGCGUGGGGAGCAAACAGG